GAUGAACGCUGGCGGCGUGCCUAAUACAUGCAAGUCGAGCGAACAGACGAGGAGCUUGCUCCUCUGACGUUAGCGGCGGACGGGUGAGUAACACGUGGAUAACCUACCUAUAAGACUGGGAUAACUUCGGGAAACCGGAGCUAAUACCGGAUAAUAUAUUGAACCGCAUGGUUCAAUAGUGAAAGACGGUUUUGCUGUCACUUAUAGAUGGAUCCGCGCCGCAUUAGCUAGUUGGUAAGGUAACGGCUUACCAAGGCGACGAUGCGUAGCCGACCUGAGAGGGUGAUCGGCCACACUGGAACUGAGACACGGUCCAGACUCCUACGGGAGGCAGCAGUAGGGAAUCUUCCGCAAUGGGCGAAAGCCUGACGGAGCAACGCCGCGUGAGUGAUGAAGGGCGUCGGAUCGUAAAACUCUGUUAUUAGGGAAGAACAAAUGUGUAAGUAACUAUGCACGUCUUGACGGUACCUAAUCAGAAAGCCACGGCUAACUACGUGC
This 498-nucleotide ribosomal RNA is filed under the name uncultured bacterium. RNAcentral describes it as "partial 16S ribosomal RNA". It matches the Rfam family "Bacterial small subunit ribosomal RNA", at positions 28 to 508 of the family's 1533-position model. The record is from RNAcentral.